AUUGAACGCUGGCGGCAGGCCUAACACAUGCAAGUCGAGCGGAGCUGCGGACGGGUGAGUAAUGCCUAGGAAUCUGCCUGGUCGUGGGGUAUAACGUCCGGAAACGGGCGCUAAUACCGCAUACUAUCAGAUGAGCCUAGGUCGGGUUAGCUAGGUGGUGGGGUAAAGACCUACCAAGGCGACGAGCCGUACCUGGGCUGAGAGGAUGAUCAGUCACACUGGAACUGAGACACGGUCCAGACUCCGACGGGAGGCAGCAGUGGGGAAUAUUGGACAAUGGGCGAAAGCCUGAUCCAGCCAUGCCGCGUGGGGGAAGAAGGUCUGCGGAUUGUAAAGCACUUUAAGUUGGGAGGCGUUACCAACAGAAUAAGCACCGGCUAACUUCGUGCCAGCAGCCGCGGUAAUUC
This 407-nucleotide ribosomal RNA is filed under the name uncultured bacterium. Its description in RNAcentral is "partial 16S ribosomal RNA". It matches the Rfam family "Bacterial small subunit ribosomal RNA", at positions 30 to 526 of the family's 1533-position model. The record is from RNAcentral.